UCGGGAAUUUUGGGCAAUGGGCGAAAGCCUGACCCAGCAACGCCGCGUGAAGGAUGAAGUCUUUCGGGAUGUAAACUUCGUAAAAAUAGGAAGAAUAAAUGACGGUACUAUUUGUAAGGUCCGGCUAACUACGUGCCAGCAGCCGCGGUAAUACGUAGGGACCAAGCGUUGUUCGGAUUUACUGGGCGUAAAGGGCGCGUAGGCGGCGUGGUAAGUCACUUGUGAAAUCUCCGAGCUUAACUCGGAACGGUCAAGUGAUACUGCUGUGCUAGAGUACAGAAGGGGCAAUCGGAAUUCUUGGUGUAGCGGUGAAAUGCGUAGAUAUCAAGAGGAACACCUGAGGUGAAGACGGGUUGCUGGGCUGAUACUGACGCUGAGGCGCGAAAGCUAGGGUAGCAAACGGGAUUAGAUACCCCCGUAGUCCCUGAGCGGGCUGGCAAGGCGCAU
This 447-nucleotide ribosomal RNA is filed under the name uncultured bacterium. RNAcentral's name for it is "bacterial SSU rRNA". It matches the Rfam family "Bacterial small subunit ribosomal RNA", at positions 355 to 825 of the family's 1533-position model. The record is from RNAcentral.